AAUUGAAGAGUUUGAUCAUGGCUCAGAUUGAACGCUGGCGGCAGGCCUAACACAUGCAAGUCGAGCGGAAACGAGUUCACUGAACCUUCGGGGAACGUGAACGGCGUCGAGCGGCGGACGGGUGAGUAAUGCCUGGGAAAUUGCCCUGAUGUGGGGGAUAACCAUUGGAAACGAUGGCUAAUACCGCAUAAUAGCUUCGGCUCAAAGAGGGGGACCUUCGGGCCUCUCGCGUCAGGAUAUGCCCAGGUGGGAUUAGCUAGUUGGUGAGGUAAGGGCUCACCAAGGCGACGAUCCCUAGCUGGUCUGAGAGGAUGAUCAGCC
Molecule: ribosomal RNA, 321 nt
Filed under: Vibrio parahaemolyticus
Lineage: Bacteria; Pseudomonadati; Pseudomonadota; Gammaproteobacteria; Vibrionales; Vibrionaceae
Description: bacterial SSU rRNA
Rfam family: Bacterial small subunit ribosomal RNA
Source: RNAcentral